AAAGCGUGCGCAGGCGGUUUUGUAAGUCAGAUGUGAAAUCCCCGAGCUCAACUUGGGAACUGCGUUUGAAACUACAAGGCUAGAGUAUGGUAGAGGGGGGUAGAAUUCCACGUGUAGCAGUGAAAUGCGUAGAGAUGUGGAGGAAUACCAAUGGCGAAGGCAGCCCCCUGGACUAAUACUGACGCUCAUGCACGAAAGCGUGGGGAGCAAACAGGAUUAGAUACCCUAGU
This 230-nucleotide ribosomal RNA is filed under the name uncultured bacterium. RNAcentral's name for it is "partial 16S ribosomal RNA". It matches the Rfam family "Bacterial small subunit ribosomal RNA", at positions 562 to 791 of the family's 1533-position model. The record is from RNAcentral.